Nitrospina sp. is the source of this 360-nucleotide non-coding RNA. It matches the Rfam family "transfer-messenger RNA". From Rfam's summary of the family: Bacterial tmRNA, also known as 10Sa RNA or SsrA, is named for its dual tRNA and mRNA-like properties. The record is from Rfam. NCBI's taxonomy places the organism in Bacteria, Pseudomonadati, Nitrospinota, Nitrospinia, Nitrospinales, Nitrospinaceae.
GGGGGCGAACUGGUUUCGACGGGAGGGAUGAGACGAAGGUUGCAUGUACGGGAUGCCGUUGGCCCGUAAAAAAACGGCACAUACAUAAUCGCCAACGAUUAUGAAGUAGCUGUAGCCGCUUAAACAAAGCUGGCUACCGUUCUUUUCACUUUUGUCUGUGAGGUGAAAAAGAACGUCAUUUAAACGGACUGGUCGGGUGUGUGUGUUCCGGACGCAUCGGACGAGAACUAUCGGAACUGGCGCGGGCCGAAUCCGGUCUCUGGGAGUUAGCCCGGGCGAGAUUUAAAAUAGAGACUAAACAUGUAGACGCCUUCGAUUGAAACCUUUCGGACGGGGGUUCGAUUCCCCCCGCCUCCACCA